RNAcentral lists this RNase P RNA (467 nucleotides) under Adhaeretor mobilis. RNAcentral's name for it is "Bacterial RNase P class A". It matches the Rfam family "Bacterial RNase P class A". From Rfam's summary of the family: Ribonuclease P (RNase P) is a ubiquitous endoribonuclease, found in archaea, bacteria and eukarya as well as chloroplasts and mitochondria. Lineage: Bacteria; Pseudomonadati; Planctomycetota; Planctomycetia; Pirellulales; Lacipirellulaceae. The record is from Rfam by way of RNAcentral.
GCAGAGGGCUGGGCGAUCGCCGGUUUGCAGGCAACUGCAGGCGGGAGGAAAGUCCGGGCGCCAUAGGACAGGACGGUGGAUAACGUCCACCGAUCGUGAGACCAGGGAUAGUGCCACAGAAAAGAUACCGCCGAUGGGGGCUGUUGGCCGCUGGCUCUUGGCUUUUAGCUUGUUGUUGGGGGGAAUGUUCCCUUCACACAGGAGCCAGAUGCCAAGAGCCAGCGGCCAACAGCCUCACAGGUAAGGGUGAAAUGGUGCGGUAAGAGCGCACCAGCAGGCGGGGUGACUCGCUUGGCUAGGUAAACCCCGUCCGGCGCAAGGCCAAACAGAGAGCAGAGUCGGUCCGGCUCGUUACGACUCUCGGGUGGGCUGCUAGAGGCGUGCGAGCAAUCGUCGUCGUAGAGGAAUGAUCGUCGCUUGCACCUCGCGUGUGAGUACAGAACCCGGCUUACAGGCCCUCUGCGGUU